CUUGUCUCUGCAGAAUGUUAAUCUCCUUGGCAGGCGGACGAAAGGAACGAAAAGGAGAGCUGAUACGUAUUAAGUGCCAACUGCAUACCUCAGUCUCAGGUGAUACAUUCACACAGGAAAUUUUCCCAUUCUUGUCCUCAUCUGCAGAGACACCCACUCCCCAUGCUAUAGAGACUAUACAACCAAGUGUUCACAAUAUAUUACAGAGAGACCCAUGAACUAGAAUUCAUUGUUGUGAUUGCUCUACCAACAUUUUGGAUGAAAUGCUAUGGGAACCCAGAAAACAAUUAAUGUUGCUUGGAAGGGUUCAGGAUGAAUUCACAGAGGUAAGUUCUGAGCUGGACUUUGAAGGAUAAACAGGAUUCUUUGCG
Molecule: long non-coding RNA, 371 nt
Filed under: Zalophus californianus (California sea lion)
Lineage: Eukaryota; Metazoa; Chordata; Mammalia; Carnivora; Otariidae
Description: lncRNA (ENSZCAG00015020007.1)
Source: RNAcentral